RNAcentral lists this ribosomal RNA (233 nucleotides) under uncultured bacterium. Its description in RNAcentral is "partial 16S ribosomal RNA". It matches the Rfam family "Bacterial small subunit ribosomal RNA", at positions 100 to 334 of the family's 1533-position model. The record is from RNAcentral.
CGGGACGGGUGAGUAAUGUCUGGGGAACUGCCUGAUGGAGGGGGGUAACUACUGGAAACGGUAGCUAAUACCGCAUAACGUCGCAAGACCAAAGAGGGGGACCUUCGGGCCUCUUGCCAUCGGAUGUGCCCAGAUGGGAUUAGCUAGUAGGUGGGGUAACGGCUCACCUAGGCGACGAUCCCUAGCUGGUCUGAGAGGAUGACCAGCCACACUGGAACUGAGACACGGUCCAG